Molecule: transfer RNA, 72 nt
Filed under: Camelus bactrianus (Bactrian camel)
Lineage: Eukaryota; Metazoa; Chordata; Mammalia; Artiodactyla; Camelidae
Also listed under: 2 other names
Rfam family: tRNA
About the family: Transfer RNA (tRNA) molecules are approximately 80 nucleotides in length.
Source: Rfam by way of RNAcentral
GAGGGUAUAGCUCAGUGGUAGAGUGUAUGCUUAGCAUGCACAUGGUCCUGGGUUCAAUCCCCAGUACCUCCA